Molecule: ribosomal RNA, 301 nt
Filed under: uncultured bacterium
Lineage: Bacteria
Description: partial 16S ribosomal RNA
Rfam family: Bacterial small subunit ribosomal RNA
Source: RNAcentral
CAGUAGCCGCGGGAAUACCGAGGAUGCAAGCGUUAUCCGGAAUGAUUGGGCGUAAAGCGUCUGUAGGUGGCUUUUCAAGUCCGCCGUCAAAUCCCAGGGCUCAACCCUGGACAGGCGGUGGAAACUACCAAGCUAGAGUACGGUAGGGGCAGAGGGAAUUUCCGGUGGAGCGGUGAAAUGCGUUGAGAUCGAAAAGAACACCAACGACGAAAGCACUCUGCUGGGUCGACACUGACACUGAGAGACGAAAGCUAGGGGAGCAAAUGGGAUUAGAUACCCCAGUAGUCCCUGUCUCUUAUAC